AAACAUGAAACAAUUUAUGUAAUUAGUUUCGACCUAAUCCCUAGAUAAUAAAAUUUAUCCUUGUUUU
RNAcentral lists this transfer RNA (67 nucleotides) under Orfelia nemoralis. RNAcentral describes it as "tRNA-Arg". Lineage: Eukaryota; Metazoa; Arthropoda; Insecta; Diptera; Keroplatidae. The record is from RNAcentral.